RNAcentral lists this unclassified non-coding RNA (1449 nucleotides) under Hevea brasiliensis (rubber tree). Lineage: Eukaryota; Viridiplantae; Streptophyta; Magnoliopsida; Malpighiales; Euphorbiaceae. The record is from RNAcentral.
CAAAACUUAAAUGAGCGCAGUUAAGGAAUUAAAUUUACCAAUAAUUAAUGUGGACAACUUCACCCGGUAAUGAGCAUCCAACUUGCCCGUAUGAUUCCAUUAUAUGACGCAGAGAGAGAGCCCACCCUAUUAAUUAAUGAUAGCUCUACCAUACCAACACCCAUCCGGAUCCCUCAAUUAGAUCCUUUGUUUUGCCUUAAGCAGGCACGUUCCCCUUUCCCCCAAACAAAAACGUGAAGACAACGAAGAGCGAAAACCACACAAACCAUGAACUAGAAUUAAUGAAAGCUAUAUACACAUCAAAAACUACAUUACCACACGAUCUCAUUACAACCCAUCCCACGCACCAUCACUAAAGGCUAAAGAUCCGAAACACCGCUACAACACAAUAACAAUAACACUUGUGCAUACCAUACAAGCUUCGGUACCAUAUAUCCAAAUGUCUUGGCCUUUGCUACCCAUAAAACAUUACAUCAGCCGGAUAACGGUCUACGAGUCGUCGUCUCAUAUUUCACACGUCGUAAGGACGAGGAGGACUCCUGGGUCCAACCUCGCUUGCCUUCUCGUAUGCAUCCGAUAUUGAUCUUCUUCGAAACCGAAAGGACUCUUUGCCUCCAGAAAAGGGGGAUACCGGAGGAGUAGAGCCGGCGGGUGAAACCGGUGGAGAACCGUUCUGGUACCCAGGCGGUUUUACUAUCAUGAUACUGCGCGUAACUCUCGUCACCUCCUCUGAUGCAUCCUCACCGUACGAUCUCGCGUUUCGACCAUCGGAUUCUGAUCCACAACGAAAGAAGAAGUUAGAAUCUAGACCCACGAACGACACAGAAAUAUAUUAUCGCCGUUUAGCCAAAACGAUCUUUUUUUUUUUUGGGUUUUUGGAUAGUAACCAAAACGAUCCAUUUGAUGAUGGUCUUCAAAAACUUUAUACUGCAUGUACUCUUGGCUAAAAUAAUCAUCCCUACGAUAUAAUAUUGUAGCAUUAAGAAUUAAUAGCUUAUCGGCGAAAAAAAAAGUUAACAAUCACUGGAUAAUUGCAAUAACUGUUACGAGAAGUGAAUCAGCAAUCCAAAAACUCCUCUAAACGAGAAUUUUGAAGCUCGAUCAAGCUGAGCUCUCGAUUGAAGUGAAUUCAAGUUAUGCGAUUUUGAUAGAUAGUUCUAUAAACUUUCCGUUUUGCAAAUUUAACGUCCUAUAUAUCAUCCGCCGCCGUGGGCCUAAGUUAGCAAAAACGCUUGCAUACCCUUGCCGGAGGAUGACCGAAAGUUGAAGGUGGAAUGCUUCCGCAGCUUGCCGAGGCCGUUAUCCGGUCGAGGCCCCGCAACGGUUUCGUCCCACAGCUGGUCAAGAAGACCCAUGGCGCAAAUUAACGGGAAUCUGCAACGAUCUAAGCAGAAAAAGCAGUGCACGUUAAGACCUCACUACCCAGCAUAGAAUCGAUGAGCCCGCCAC